GACGACGCUGGCGGCGUGGAUUAGGCAUGCAAGUCGAACGGUAUCAUCCUUUCAGGGGGUGAGAGAGUGGCGAACUGGUGAGUAACACGUAGGUUAUCUACCCUCAAGACGGGGACAACCCAGGGAAACUUGGGCUAAUACCGGAUGUGAGCAACUUUUAGUUGUUUGAAAGGUGGCGUAAGCUGUCGCUUGGGGAUGAGCCUGCGUCCUAUUAGUUAGUUGGUGAGGUAACGGCUCACCUAGGCAAUGAUAGGUAGGCGGCCUUAACGGGUGGUCGCCCACACUGGGAUUGAGAUACGGCCCAGACUCCUACGGGAGGCAGCAGUCGAGAAUAGUCUACAAUGGUCGGAAGACUGAUAGUGCGACGCCGCGUGAACGAUGAAUCCCUUCGGGGUGUAAAGUUCUUUUAUAUGUGAGCAGUGCUUCUUAUAUUAACAGUAUGGGGAGAGAGAUAUUAGCAUAUGAAUAAGCAACGGCUAACUCCGUG
This 487-nucleotide ribosomal RNA is filed under the name uncultured bacterium. RNAcentral's name for it is "bacterial SSU rRNA". It matches the Rfam family "Bacterial small subunit ribosomal RNA", at positions 33 to 507 of the family's 1533-position model. The record is from RNAcentral.